This 739-nucleotide small RNA is filed under the name Pan troglodytes (chimpanzee). RNAcentral describes it as "retained intron". The record is from RNAcentral. Lineage: Eukaryota; Metazoa; Chordata; Mammalia; Primates; Hominidae.
CCCGGCUGCUAUAGAGCCGGGUGAGAGAGCGAGCGCCCGUCGGCGGGUGUCGAGGGCGGGUUGCCUCGCGCUGACCCUUCCCGCCCUCCUUCUCGUCACACACCAGGUCCCCGCGGAAGCCGCGGUGUCGGCGCCAUGGCGGAGCUGACGGCUCUUGAGAGUCUCAUCGAGAUGGGUUUCCCCAGGGGACGCGCGGAGAAGGCUCUGGCCCUCACAGGGAACCAGGGCAUCGAGGCUGCGAUGGACUGGCUGAUGGAGCACGAAGACGACCCCGAUGUGGACGAGCCUUUAGAGACUCCCCUUGGACAUAUCCUGGGACGGGAGCCCACUUCCUCAGAGCAAGGCGGCCUUGAAGGAUCUGGUUCUGCUGCCGGAGAAGGCAAACCCGUUUUGAGUGAAGAGGAAAGACAGGAACAAACUAAGAGGAUGUUGGAGCUGGUGGCCCAGAAGCAGCGGGAGCGUGAAGAAAGAGAGGAACGGGAGGCAUUGGAACGGGAACGGCAGCGCAGGAGACAAGGGCAAGAGUUGUCAGCAGCACGACAGCGGCUACAGGAAGAUGAGAUGCGCCGGGCUGCUGAGGAGAGGCGGAGGGAAAAGGCCGAGGAGUUAGCAGCCAGGUCUGGGCAGGGGAAAUGAUGGAUAGCAGAUGAGAAAGAAAUCAAGAUUUGCUUUGUUGAUGUCUGACCUAAUUUCUUCUUGUCUACAUUUCAGACAAAGAGUUAGAGAAAAGAUCGAGAGG